UUCUAAGAACUUCCAAUCUUUUUAAUAAACCAUUCACUAUAUGCUCAUCAUUGAAACUUACAAAGAUCACUAGGUAUUUGGGUAAGGUCAAUAUUAUAAAUGACAACAAUUGAAAUAUAAGAUAAGGAGACGUUCUUCGCCGAGAGUUGCGCAGUUUCCUGCUUCAACAGUGCUUGGAUGGAACCUGGCACUCGACCGGCAUUCCGGCAGGCGCUCACAUCCAGCCUCCCCACACCUCCUCACCGCGCCCUCUGACGGUCCCAAGGACCCCACCGCCUUCCAGCGCUGCGCAGCCGCCUCUCCUCAGCCACGGCCAUGACCACCGCAUACCCACCGCAGGUGCGCCAGAACUACCACCAAGACUCGGAGGCCACCAUCAACCGCCAGAUCAACCUGGAGCUUUACGCCUCCUAUGUCUACCUGUCCGUGUCUUACUACUUUGACCGCCAUGAUGUGGCAUAAAAGAAUUCUGCCAAAUACUUUCUUCACCAAUGUCAUGAGGAGAGGGAACAUGCUGAGAAACUGAUGAAGCUGCAGAAUCAAGGAGGUGACCAAAUCUUCCUUCAGGAUAUAAAAAAACCCAGACUGUGAUGACUGGGAGAGCAGGCUGAAUGAGAUGGAGUGUGUGUUACACUUGGAAAAAAGUGUGAAUCAGUCACUACUGGAACUGCACAAACUGGCCACUGACAAAAAUGACAAAAGUGACUUCAUUGAGACACAUUACCUGAAUGAACAGGUCAAAUCCAUUAAAGAACUGGGUGGGACCAUGUAACCAACCUGUGCAAGAUGGGAGCCCCUGAAUCUGGCAUGGCAGAGUAUCUCUUUGACAAGCACACCCUGGGAGACAGUGAUAAUGAGAGCUAAGCCUUAGGCUAACUUCCCCAUAGUCAGGGGGUAACUUCUGUGAUCACCAAGGCAGUGCAUGCAUGUCGGGGUUUCCUUUACCUUUUCUAUAAGGUGUACCAAAACAUCCACCUAAGUUCUUUCAUUUGUACCAUUCUUUCAAAUAAAGAAAUUCGGUACCCCCCCCCCCCAAAAAAAAGAUAAGAUAAGAAGAAAAAUAUGAAACAGAAACAUAUUUUUCUGGAAAUCUUUCAAAAUGUAAAAGAAAAUAAAGACAUGGAUAAUAGGAAAUAUUUUAUUUUAAAAAUUAGAGGAUCACCACAAUGCCAUCACUAGGCAUCUACUCAGCAAAAUAAUAAUAAUAAUAAUAAUUUUAUCAUAAGGAUAUUUGCACUAGGUGUUUAUUGCAGCUCAAUUUACAAUCACCAAGAAGUGGAAAUAACCCAACUGUUCAUCAACCCAAGAAUUCAUUAAUAAACUGUGGCAUAUGUAUACCAUGGAAUAUUUUUCAUUCGUAAAAAGUAUGGAGAGUUUACAUCUUUUGUAUUAACCUGAUGGAUUUAAAACACAUUCUUCUUAAUAUGGAAAAGCAAGUAUCUUUUAUAAUACAAAGCCAGUAGACAAUAUAAUAAAUGCCCACACAAGAGAAAAACUCAACUCAAUUCAAACUGGGGGAGAGGGAGGAGAAAAGUGGCAUAGGGGAGAGGGGAGGUGGAUUUGCAUGCUCUCACCUAAUGGGCACAAUGUAAAGGUAUAAGGGACACUUCCUUGGUGUGUGACACAACUACAAAAGGGAUCUUAUCUAACAAAUGCAAACAUUGUAACCUAAUUGUUUGUACCUUCAU
Nycticebus coucang (slow loris) is the source of this 1688-nucleotide RNA transcript. It is a transcript of the gene named ferritin heavy chain-like, with no coding region annotated. The transcript has a single exon. The record is from RefSeq and is a predicted model, not a curated record. NCBI's taxonomy places the organism in Eukaryota, Metazoa, Chordata, Mammalia, Primates, Lorisidae.